Molecule: transfer RNA, 74 nt
Filed under: Patescibacteria group bacterium
Lineage: Bacteria
Description: tRNA-His
Rfam family: tRNA
About the family: Transfer RNA (tRNA) molecules are approximately 80 nucleotides in length.
Source: RNAcentral
GUGGCUAUAGUUCAAUGGUAGAGCACUUGGUUGUGGUCCAAGCUACGAGGGUUCGAUUCCCUCUAGCCACCCCA